AAAUACCAGGACCACAGAGAGAGACCAGCUACAGAAUAUUCUAAAUACCAGGACCACAGAGAGAGACCAGUUAAAAACCAGGCUUAGGUCCUAUGAGAAACCCUGUCUGAAUGAAUGGUGGCAGUUUGGCACCAGCUGUUAUUAUGUCUCCUCCACGAGGGACUCUGCCGGGGACGGUCAGGAGCAGUGCAGAGCAAUGGGUGGAGAGUUGGUUGUUAUAAACAGCAGAGAAGAACAGAUAUUUAUCCAUGGAUUUAAGAAGAAUAUCUGGAUUGGUGCAUAUACAAGUGACACAAUCUGGGAGUGGCUUUUCAACACAGAAUUUAGACCUACCUAUUGGAUGGAAGGGGAACCAAGUAGCUUGAAUGACGAGCUGGCUUGUAUUGAGAUCUCAGAGACGGCAUCAGACCCAUUGAAGAGUUGGAAGGUUGUAAAAUGUACUUCAAAUUACUGGGUGUGUGAAAUACCGUUCACACCGUAGUCUAAUUAUAAUAACUAAUGUAAGCCCUUUAUCUUAUGGAGUUGCACUGGUUUUCCCUUUGUUAGGCCUAACGUGUUUCUAUAUGUAUCUACAUUGAAAGAUGUAUUUGAUGUCUUUAAAGAGACCAGGGCUAUGGGGAGUUUGUUCACCGUUCAUCAGGCCCAGGGGA
Molecule: long non-coding RNA, 650 nt
Organism: Coregonus clupeaformis (lake whitefish)
Lineage: Eukaryota; Metazoa; Chordata; Actinopteri; Salmoniformes; Salmonidae
Exons: 4
Source: RefSeq, a predicted model, not a curated record